CAGUAGAUUGGUAGCUGGAAGCCAAGGGCGGUAGCAU
RNAcentral lists this non-coding RNA (37 nucleotides) under uncultured Phytobacter sp. RNAcentral describes it as "JUMPstart RNA". It matches the Rfam family "JUMPstart RNA". The record is from RNAcentral. Lineage: Bacteria; Pseudomonadati; Pseudomonadota; Gammaproteobacteria; Enterobacterales; Enterobacteriaceae.